RNAcentral lists this ribosomal RNA (253 nucleotides) under uncultured bacterium. RNAcentral's name for it is "partial 16S ribosomal RNA". It matches the Rfam family "Bacterial small subunit ribosomal RNA", at positions 524 to 776 of the family's 1533-position model. The record is from RNAcentral.
UACGUAUGGUGCAAGCGUUAUCCGGAUUUACUGGGUGUAAAGGGAGCGUAGGCGGCGCGUUAAGUCUGAUGUGAAAACCCGAGGCUCAGCCACGGGAGUGCAUUGGAAACUGGCGAGCUGGAGUGCCGGAGAGGUAAGCGGAAUUCCUAGUGUAGCGGUGAAAUGCGUAGAUAUUAGGAGGAACACCAGUGGCGAAGGCGGCUUACUGGACGGCAACUGACGCUGAGGCUCGAAAGCGUGGGGAGCAAACAGG